GCUGGGGAGAGAGAAAGAAAGAGAGCCGGGGCGUGCAGAACACGUUUCACAUCACCUCAGAGCUGUGGAAUUUCCUCUCUUCUGGGGGGAGGCCUGUGAAGAUGAAGUUGGUUGAAGGCCGGUGUCCUUCCUCGUGGUCUUAAGAGAAAGAGAGCGCCCUCCUCAAAACCUCCACCCCGGUGUGAAAGUGUGCCAAGCAGGAAAGCUGUUUCGGAUCUUGCAGUCUAUCAGGGUCAUCAUUUUCGAACAUCUAUUAGUGCCAUAUUGUAGUCGAGUGAGAGGUUCAGUUAAUAAAGAUUUCUGGUUGAUAGAUUGCUAAAGCAAGCAGCCUUUUGCACUGUCUUCUUUGAAUUGCUACUGAGCCAUAGAACAAUACACUCAGUCCCUUUUUUAUC
Leptonychotes weddellii (Weddell seal) is the source of this 395-nucleotide long non-coding RNA. RefSeq lists it as uncharacterized. The record is from RefSeq and is a predicted model, not a curated record. NCBI's taxonomy places the organism in Eukaryota, Metazoa, Chordata, Mammalia, Carnivora, Phocidae.